GGUUGUGGCUCAGUGGUAUAGAGUGCUUCGCCUAGCAUAUGUGAGGUCCUGGGUUGGAUUCUCAGCACCA
This 70-nucleotide transfer RNA is filed under the name Marmota monax (woodchuck). Its description in RNAcentral is "tRNA.Ala". The record is from RNAcentral. Lineage: Eukaryota; Metazoa; Chordata; Mammalia; Rodentia; Sciuridae.